RNAcentral lists this ribosomal RNA (465 nucleotides) under Vreelandella stevensii. RNAcentral describes it as "partial 16S ribosomal RNA". It matches the Rfam family "Bacterial small subunit ribosomal RNA", at positions 338 to 795 of the family's 1533-position model. Lineage: Bacteria; Pseudomonadati; Pseudomonadota; Gammaproteobacteria; Oceanospirillales; Halomonadaceae. The record is from RNAcentral.
CCUACGGGUGGCUGCAGUGGGGAAUAUUGGACAAUGGGGGGAACCCUGAUCCAGCCAUGCCGCGUGUGUGAAGAAGGCCCUCGGGUUGUAAAGCACUUUCAGUGAGGAAGAACGCCUGGUGGUUAAUACCCAUCAGGAAAGACAUCACUCACAGAAGAAGCACCGGCUAACUCCGUGCCAGCAGCCGCGGUAAUACGGAGGGUGCGAGCGUUAAUCGGAAUUACUGGGCGUAAAGCGCGCGUAGGUGGCUUGAUAAGCCGGUUGUGAAAGCCCCGGGCUCAACCUGGGAACGGCAUCCGGAACUGUCAAGCUAGAGUGCAGGAGGGGAAGGUAGAAUUCCCGGUGUAGCGGUGAAAUGCGUAGAGAUCGGGAGGAAUACCAGUGGCGAAGGCGGCCUUCUGGACUGACACUGACACUGAGGUGCGAAAGCGUGGGUAGCAAACAGGAUUAGAUACCCUUGUAGUC